CCUGCGGAAGGAUCAUUACCGAGUGCGGGUCCUUUGGGCCCAACCUCCCAUCCGUGUCUAUUGUACCCUGUUGCUUCGGCGGGCCCGCCGCUUGUCGGCCGCCGGGGGGGCGCCUCUGCCCCCCGGGCCCGUGCCCGCCGGAGACCCCAACACGAACACUGUCUGAAAGCGUGCAGUCUGAGUUGAUUGAAUGCAAUCAGUUAAAACUUUCAACAAUGGAUCUCUUGGUUCCGGCAUCGAUGAAGAACGCAGCGAAAUGCGAUAACUAAUGUGAAUUGCAGAAUUCAGUGAAUCAUCGAGUCUUUGAACGCACAUUGCGCCCCCUGGUAUUCCGGGGGGCAUGCCUGUCCGAGCGUCAUUGCUGCCCUCAAGCCCGGCUUGUGUGUUGGGUCGCCGUCCCCCUCUCCGGGGGGACGGGCCCGAAAGGCAGCGGCGGCACCGCGUCCGAUCCUCGAGCGUAUGGGGCUUUGUCACAUGCUCUGUAGGAUUGGCCGGCGCCUGCCGACGUUUUCCAACCAUUCUUUCCAGGUUGACCUCGGAUCAGGUAGGGAUACCCGCUGAACUUAAGCAUAUCAAUAAGCGGA
Molecule: ribosomal RNA, 584 nt
Filed under: Aspergillus niger
Lineage: Eukaryota; Fungi; Ascomycota; Eurotiomycetes; Eurotiales; Aspergillaceae
Description: eukaryotic LSU rRNA
Rfam family: 5.8S ribosomal RNA (bases 205-358)
Source: RNAcentral